GGUUGUCGUCAGCUCGUGUCGUGAGAUGUUGGGUUAAGUCCCGCAACGAAGCCGCAACCCCUAUUGUUAGUUGCCAUCAUUCAGUUGGGCACUCUAGCGAGACUGCCGGUAAUAACCGGAGGAAGUGGGAUGACGUCAAAUCAUCAUGCCCCUUAUGACCUGGGCUACACACGUGCUACAAUGGUUGGUACAACGAGUUGCGAGUCGGUGACGGCGAGCUAAUCUCUUAAAGCCAAUCUCAGUUCGGAUUGUAGGCUGCAACUCGCCUACAUGAAGUCGGAAUCGCUAGUAAUCGCGGAUCAGCACGCCCGCGGUCGAAUACGUUCCCGGGCCUU
Molecule: ribosomal RNA, 335 nt
Filed under: uncultured Streptococcus sp.
Lineage: Bacteria; Bacillati; Bacillota; Bacilli; Lactobacillales; Streptococcaceae
Description: bacterial SSU rRNA
Rfam family: Bacterial small subunit ribosomal RNA
Source: RNAcentral